This 506-nucleotide ribosomal RNA is filed under the name uncultured bacterium. Its description in RNAcentral is "partial 16S ribosomal RNA". It matches the Rfam family "Bacterial small subunit ribosomal RNA", at positions 30 to 523 of the family's 1533-position model. The record is from RNAcentral.
AUUGAACGCUGGCGGCAGGCCUAACACAUGCAAGUCGAACGGUAACAGGAAGCAGCUUGCUGCUUCGCUGACGAGUGGCGGACGGGUGAGUAAUGUCUGGGAAACUGCCUGAUGGAGGGGGAUAACUACUGGAAACGGUAGCUAAUACCGCAUAACGUCGCAAGACCAAAGAGGGGGACCUUCGGGCCUCUUGCCAUCGGAUGUGCCCAGAUGGGAUUAGCUAGUAGGUGGGGUAACGGCUCACCUAGGCGACAAUCCCUAGCUGGUCUGAGAGGAUGACCAGCCACACUUGAACUGAGACACGGUCCAGACUCCUACGGGAGGCAGCAGUGGGGAAUAUUGCACAAUGGGCGCAAGCCUGAUGCAGCCAUGCCGCGUGUAUGAAGAAGGCCUUCGGGUUGUAAAGUACUUUCAGCGGGGAGGAAGGGAGUAAAGUUAAUACCUUUGCUCAUUGACGUUACCCGCAGAAGAAGCACCGGCUAACUCCGUGCCAGCCGCCGCAGUAA